CUCAUCCAAAUGAAUGGAUUUUCACCAUAUGACACCAGAAAGCCAUUAAAGAUUAAUCUCAAAGAUUUUUUGAGAUUAAUAACCGAGGCAAAUAUAUCCAACAGUACCCAGAGUCAAGGGGCACCAGUCCAGGUAUUUACAUGCAGUGGAACACCUUCCCUCUUUUUCUAGUAUGAUAUCCCGGCAUUCAUUGCCUGCAGCAGCAAUAAGCCUUGUUUAGACAAGUGUUUGGAGCGCAUUGUUCACACAAUAAUGGGAAGAGAUACAUUGAGCCAAAGCUCUGUGCUUUGACUGAUGUGCAAUACAGCUUAAGGUGACAUAAUAUAAAAUAUUUAGCUGAAACAAUGCACAGAGCAGGAGCUCUUAUGCAAAUGUAAACAUGAGUACCUUCACAGCAAUUACCUCAUUACCUGCUGGUGGUUUUUCUACACAAUUGUAUUCCACCUUCCUCUUUGACAGAGUAUUCUGGGGGAUUUCUUACACUGACAUUCAUGUAUUUUUAAUACAGAUUUUUAACUCUAUUAAAGAUAAAUUGAUUUUUAACUCUAUUCAAGAAUUCUAGGGGCUAUGUCUUUUUAAAUCUAAAACAACCAUUAUCUUCAACACAAGGGAAGCAGUAAGGAUAAACAGCUUCCAUCUGUGAAAUGGAUCUCUUCAGGAUGUAUGUGGACAAGCAGAGAAGUGAACUACCUUCCAGCUCAGCCACCUCUACCCUGCUUCCCUAGAAAACAGAUUGAAAAUAGAUUCUCGAAAUGUUAAAUACCCCAUCCCUGAAUUCCCAAAUGAAUGAGCAAAUCAUGAAAUUAAAUGUAAGCAGGUGAACUUGGGGAAUGUCUCCUCUAAGGGUUUUCAAUCCCUAUUUGUGAUUCCUCACCAUAAAUGUGUUAAAUAUAACUACAUGCAGUUAUUUAUCUGUCCUAAAACAUAUCCUUUUGUGCCACUGGGGAAAUUUAUGCUCCUUUAGUAAGAGUUAUUUCCAUAUUUUUACAAUCAAUUUCUUGCCCCUAUUUUUCUUGGUUAAUGGCACAUUCAGGAUGCACUCUGGAACGCCCGUUUAAUUCUCAGUACCACAGUGGUUAAACACAUUCAAGUGACAAACACGUAUUGAGCAUAUCCUUCGUGAUGAAGGUGCAGUCUUUGCCCGCAAAAAACUAAAGGAAGGCAUGCAUCCUCAUCCUUCCAAAGGAGCGGCAUGCCCUUCACGGCAGUCACCAAACCAUCAUUUGAGAACCACCAUUUUCUAAGAGCAAUUUCCUGGUUUUGUUGUUUAUUUAUCUGUUUGAGCUGCUUAAAGCCAACAACAAUCCCCAGGUUGCAAGCAAACCAGUCAUGGGAGCUAAAACCAGAAUAACAGAGAUAAAGGAAACAAAAGCUUACUGGACAAUCCGUAGUGAUUUCCCAUACUUUCUCCUCCUUUCUGAACAGCCUUCCAUUUGCAUUUGGAGAUCCACAUGAUUCUGGGAGGCUGACUCCACACCAGAGUCCAUCAGGGGAAACUUUGAGCUCAGCAGAGCCAAUCUGUGCCUUCCACCCUUCUUGUCAGUGACUGCUUCAGGAUUAGGUAGGUAUUUUAAAAAGGAUGUGGCUGUGAAUGGGACAGAAACUCAAAAUUAACAGGGAUUUAAAGUUCAUUUCUCUAUCAAAUAAAUCCAAACGGCUGCUCCGUAGAGCCAGCAAGGGCCCAAUUGUCUGUCUUAUUGCUCUUUUAUUCCUAGAAUUCUGCUCUUAUCUGCAUAUUUCCAAGAUUGCUUACAACUAGAAAACUCCCAUGUUUCCUCUCUUUACUUUAGGGGAAAAACACUGAAACUAUACACACUACUUGCUUCCAUCUCAUUGGCUAGAACUCAAUCAUAUGGCCACACUAGUAGCAAAGGAAGGUGGUAAAUACAGGUGGUUUGUUUGUUUGUUUGUUUUCAGUUAUAUAAUGCCAAGCUAAAAUCAUGUUUCUAGGAAAGAAGAGAAUAGACAUUAGAGGUCAUCUAGUAGCCUCUUCCUGGCAUGUGAUCUAAACUGUUCCAGAUCUUCGUGUAGUAGCUUGGAACUCAAGAAAAUAAGUACAUAUUCCCCACCCCUUGGGAUGUCUCAUUUGCUGAAGUGAGAACCUGAGGUGACAGUAACAAUUUUUACAACCAUAAGGAAACCAAUAACAGGAUGAAGCUGACACACAGAAGAGGGCAGAAUCAAGCAAAUCCCAGAGAAAAGUACCUAUACAUCUACUAACAUCAUAAAAUUCUGGAUCAAACCACAUCUGGAACUCCAUCUCCAGACUUUUCACUUAUGUUGCCACAUAAAUUCUCCAUAUUUUCUGAAAGAGCUUGAAUUGAGAUCUUAUUUUCAAUCAAAACAUUCUGAGAUUGGAGUUCCCUUGUGGUACAGUAGUUUAAAGAUCUGGUGUUGUCACUGCUGUGGAUCAGGUCACUGCUUUGAUGCAGGGUCGAUCCCUGGUCCAGGAGCUCCCACAUGCCCUGGGCAGAGCACCCCCACCAAAAAAGUCCUGAAAUAUAGAAUGAGAAAGGUACAGAGAAAGAGAUAAGGUGAAAGACCAAAAAAUAUUGAAGGAUGCAAGAUGGCCAUUAAUAUAAAAUGUUGACAAAAGUGACUCUUUGAGACAUGAGGGUUAUAGUUUAUUUAAAAUAGAGGUACAGGAGUUCCCGUUAUAGUUCAUCAGGUUAAGAACCUGACACACUGUCUAUGAGGAUGCAGGUUUGAUCUCUGGCCUUGCUUGGUGGUUUAAGGAUCUGGCAUUGCCACAAGCCAUGGCACUGGUCACAGUUGUGGCUCGGAUCCAGCAUGGCUGUGGCUGUGGUAUAUGCUGACAGCUGCAACUCCAAUUCAACCCCUAGCCUAGGAAAUUCCAUAUGCUGCUGGUGCAGCCCUAAAAAGAAAAGUACAUAUAUACAUACAUACAUACAUCCAACAUACAUAAAACAGAGGCGCUGAAAAGUAACAAGAGCAGAUAAUGACCCAAAUAUUACCAAGACUUCUUAGAACAAAGAAUAAAUGACAAAGAAUAGCAGGUAUUGAGCAGCCAGGAAAUAUGUUUUAAAUAAUUCUUUCCAAAACUGUUAGCCAGAAUUAACUCUAUGAUAACACCACACUUUACUCCAUCCUCUUUCAUAGAAAAGACUUUGUUGGGUGAGAUAAUGCCUUAAACCUAAAAGCCUUACUAAGUUAGCAAUUAUUCUAGAUCAAAGCCUUGGGUAGAUGCCAUUGGCCUUAAUUCUUCAACAGAUUCCAUUGCGGUGCUCAGCUUUGUGAACUUCGAAGUAUUUCAUUUAAGGCCCCUUUAACUCUUGGCUCUGAUGAAAAGACCAAGCAAUUACAACCCUUAUGGCCUUUAUUUUCCCCUAAGAUCAUCAUCAGGAAGUCAAAACAUCCAAUAUAAAUGAAGACAAAAUAGGAACAAUGUUGAGAAAACUAUGAAGGGAGUUGUUUUCUUCUGUAAGAUAAUCAAGGUGAAUAAGAUAACAUGGUUUAAUAAAAAGGAAAUUGAAGACAUGAGAAAAACGUAAGUUGGAAAAGACUAUGUUCCUCAUGGUCACUCCUACAUGAGAGCUAGAGAUGGAUUUAGAACUGGGGAUCUAUUUGUUCUAACAGACACCCCACCUAAAAUUCUUUCCUUUUUUUUUUUUUUUUUUUUUUUUUUUUUUGGAUUUCCAGAGUGAGAAGACAUAUGAUAGGGAUAAGUACUGAUGGAAAUAUGGCUUAAAACUGGUAUUCUCAUACUGCAAAAAGCCUGUUCAAAUGUGAAAACAAAAGUCAGACAUUCCAGUAAAUAUUUUCACACAUUAUUUUGCAUAUGAGACAGGGAACCGAUUGUGAAGUAGGGCAUUCCACAAACACCGAUUGCUCCUACCAUGCCAUGCCAUGAACCACUCUGGGUGCUGAGAAUACAGUGUUACAUAAAACAGACAAGAAACACCUGUGUGAAGAGGCCUUAGGCCACAAUAAGGGCUUAAAAAAAAAAAAGUGUAAGGGGGCUGGGGAGUUCUCUAAUAGCAGGACAGGAAGUCGUUUACAGUAAGAGAGUCAGGGAAAGUCUCCCUGAGAAAGAGACUAUAUUGGUUGUUUAUUGCUCCAUAGAAAAUCACCCUCAUAACUUUGCAUCUUCAAACAAUAAACAUGUAUUAUCUCAUAGUUUCUGUGGGUCAGGAAUUUGACGGUAGCUUAAUUCAAUGGUUCUGACUCAGGAUCUCUCAUAAACUGCUGUCAGCUGGGGCUGCAAGCGUCUGAAGCUGCCUGGCACUGAAGAAGCUAUAGUUAGGCAGAGCACAGGGACAUCUCUGUGUAUUCCCCCAAACCCUAACAACUCAGCAGUCAGCUCCCUCACCCCACCCCAGAGCAAGUGAUGAGAGAGAGAAAUCAAAACAAAAGCCACGGUUUCUAUAACCUCAUCCCAGAAGUCGCAGGCCACCCUUCCACUAUAUGCUCUUGGUCAAACAGAUGAAGCCUGGGACAUUGUAAAAGACUACCUGCACUGUGACCAUCAAGAGGCAAGGAUCGCUGGGGGCCCCCUUGGAGGCUGGCAAACAGUGACAUUAAAUAAAUACCUGAGAAAGAUGAGUUCAAUGUCACUAAACUUCCAAUGAAUCACUUUUACAAAUUUCAGUUUUCUCAUCAAUGCACUAGAAAUUGUUAAAAUAUCUCCACCAACAUCAUGUUGAGAAGACUUAUACUAUGUCAAUAAAUGUCCUUGGCUCGGUGCCUGGCAUUCCAUCAACAAGCAAUACAUGUUAGCCAUUAUUGCUAUUCUCAUUAUUGGUGAUGUGGUUGUCAUCAUCAUGUUCAUUCGAUAGAUGAGAAAACUAAGCCUUCAAGAUUUAAAUCCUCACUGAUGCAUGCCCUUGAAACAGAUGAUCAUUGUAUUCAAGCUUUCUGAAUCUAAGAGCUUCUUUAUUUCACUGUGUUGACUCACUGAGAUCAUGGGAAGGAUGGAAAAGGAGGUAAAGAUUAAUCCAAAGCAUGAAUCAGAAAUUUUAAAUUCUAUGAGGAAAGAAAGGCCAAAUAUUCAAAGUCAACUCCACUGGCAUUAACCAAGCAAGAGCUAUCAGGAGUGUUUUUUGCCGUAAAGGAAUAGAAAACCCAGCUCUCUGUGGCUUAAACAAGAAGUAUGAUGGUGGGUAAUUGCUAGCUUUCAUUCUGACAGUUACCUUUUGGCUUUUAGUCUGCAUGCUUGUUGCCUCGUAGUCACAGGAUGACUGGUAUAGCUUCUGGGCCCACACUCACAAUUCAGGAAAACGCUCUGCUUUCCAAGAUGCCUCAGCUGACAUUCAUUUACACCUAAACAGCUAGAACUCUAUCAGCAGCUCCCCUAGAACAGGGGUAGGUGGUGAAAGCAUGGAUCAGACCAUCAUGAUUCACCCCUAGGCCUAGACACAUUACUGCCCAGGUAAAACCUGGGUUCUGGGGUUUUUUGGGGGGAGGGGGAUAUAGCUAUGUCCAUUGCAGGCAAUUGAUGUGUUCCUCCAUAGUCAUGUGGAUUCCCCAAGAGAAAAGUACCAAUUAAGCAUGGUUGUCCCGCACUUUUCAAGUGAAAUCCACACAAAUACUUUCAUGGUAACUGAGAAGUUAGUAGCUUCUAUGUCAGAGAUAUAAAUGCUGUGGAAGAGGAAGUUCCCUGGUGAUGCCAGCAGGUUAAGGAUCCGGCAUGUUGCAGCCGUGGUACAGGUUACAACUACAGUGCUGGUUUGAGCCCUGGCCCAGGAACUAUCACAUGCCACACAUGCAGCCAAAAACAAACUUGUAGAAGAGCCGCUGGGCAAAUGGGCACCCGCUCAUUGAAAGCCCCUAAUUUUAUUUAUAACCUCUCUCAGACGCAGGUGAGAGAAAUCUGGCUUCAACUUACUGUGGCUCCUUAAAGGGCAUGAACCUAUAAGACCACCUGCCAAGUCAGCCGGACUGUGCUGACACAGCCAUGCAUAUUUCUACCCUUCCUUGCCUCAUCACAGCACUGCACUGGCCCUGUGUUUCCUUCCAGGGUAAUACAGGACACCACUUCUUGCCCCUGGUAGGUAGCAACAAAUGUUCUAGCAAUUCCAAAUCCCAAACAUUAUGCUAAUCAACCGUUAGCAAAGAACGAAUUUUUUUCUUUUACUAUUUUUCAUAUUUGAUGAUUUCUGCAAACAUUCUCCAUUCUUUGUGGGGCCAGAGAGCUCCUAGAGAUAUAUUCUACAGCGGAAAAUUUCUAAAAGCUCCCAAAAGUACAGGAUAGACUUUAACCUGGUUUGUUUGUUUUUGUUUGUUUUUGCUGCAACAAGCAGCAGCUUGGUGUGGGAUCUCACUUCCCAGACCAGGGAUUGAACCCACAUCAUAGCAGUGAUAGCCCUGAGUCCUGACCACUAGACCACAAGUGGAACUCCCACAAGACAGACUCUGUAAACAACAUAAAAACAAUGAAAUUUACUCUCAGAUAAUCAAUAAUCAAAUGAAAGCACAAUGUAGAAGGUUUUUUAAUUUAAUUUAGGGAAAGCAGAUACUUUAAAAAAAAAAUCCAUACCAUUGAAAUGAUGAGGUGGUGUGGUGUAUUAGAGCAAAGAACAUCAGAAUUCCUAGGUUGUAAGCCCUGUGUGUCUAGCUAGAAGCCCUGAGGCAUGAACCAAGUCAUCUAUGCUGAGGCUGAGAUGUUUUCUGCCAACAACAGAGACUGAGGUGGUGGACCUGGGGUUAAAAAAAAAAAAAAAAAAA
RNAcentral lists this long non-coding RNA (6684 nucleotides) under Sus scrofa (pig). Its description in RNAcentral is "lncRNA (ENSSSCG00050041014.1)". The record is from RNAcentral. Lineage: Eukaryota; Metazoa; Chordata; Mammalia; Artiodactyla; Suidae.